RNAcentral lists this ribosomal RNA (443 nucleotides) under uncultured bacterium. RNAcentral's name for it is "partial 16S ribosomal RNA". It matches the Rfam family "Bacterial small subunit ribosomal RNA", at positions 338 to 795 of the family's 1533-position model. The record is from RNAcentral.
CCUACGGGUGGCAGCAGUGGGGAAUAUUGGGCAAUGGGCGCAAGCCUGACCCAGCAACGCCGCGUGAAGGAAGAAGGCUUUCGGGUUGUAAACUUCUUUUCUCAGGGACGAAGCAAGUGAGGGUACCUGAGGAAUAAGCCACGGCUAACUACGUGCCAGCAGCCGCGGUAAGACGGAGGUGGCAAGAGUUAUCCGGAUGUACGGGGUGUAAGGGGCGUGUAGGCGGGACUGCAAGUCAGAUGUGAAAACCACGGGCUCAACCUGUGGCCUGAAUUUGAACAUGUAGGUCUUGAGUACUGGAGAGGCAGACGGAAGUCGUAGUGUAGCGGUGAAAUGCGUAGAUAUUAGGAGGAACACCAGUGGCGAAGGCGGUCUGCUGGACAGCAACUGACGCUGAGGCGCGAAAGCGUGGGGAGCAAACAGGAUUAGAUACCCUUGUAGUC